AUACGGAGGGUCCGAGCGUUAUCCGGAAUCAUUGGGUUUAAAGGGUCCGUAGGCGGGAAUCUAAGUCAGUGGUGAAAUCUUGCAGCUCACCUGUAAAAUUGCCAUUGAUACUGGAUUUCUUGAAUUAGUGUGAAGUGGUUAGAAUGUGUAGUGUAGCGGUGAAAUGCAUAGAUAUUACACAGAAUACCAAUUGCGAAGGCAGAUCACUAACACUAUAUUGACGCUGAGGGACGAAAGCGUGGGGAGCGAACAGGAUUAGAAACCCCGGUAGUCC
RNAcentral lists this ribosomal RNA (274 nucleotides) under uncultured bacterium. RNAcentral's name for it is "partial 16S ribosomal RNA". It matches the Rfam family "Bacterial small subunit ribosomal RNA", at positions 523 to 796 of the family's 1533-position model. The record is from RNAcentral.